Molecule: long non-coding RNA, 201 nt
Filed under: Gossypium barbadense (sea-island cotton)
Lineage: Eukaryota; Viridiplantae; Streptophyta; Magnoliopsida; Malvales; Malvaceae
Description: long non-coding RNA (GBAR_LNC004297)
Source: RNAcentral
UCUUCCUUCUUCUUCUUCUUCAAAACCGAGCCCCCCACACCGUCGCUUCUUUCACGCCGCCGUUCGAGCUGCCACCGUCGACUCCACCGGACCUUUCUCUUUCCUUUCUUUUCUCUCCCCUUUUUUCUUAUUUUUGAAGCUUUUUUUCUCUUUGAAACUUUUUUUUUGGAGAUUCAUGGGGUGGGGGUCCUUUUUUUUUGG